GUGUCAGCAGCCGCGGUAAUACGUAGGGUGCAAGCGUUGUCCGGAAUUAUUGGGCGUAAAGAGCUCGUAGGCGGUUUGUCGCGUCUGCUGUGAAAACUCAGGGCUUAACCCUGAGCCUGCAGUGGGUACGGGCAGACUAGAGUGUGGUAGGGGAGAUCGGAAUUCCUGGUGUAGCGGUGGAAUGCGCAGAUAUCAGGAGGAACACCGGUGGCGAAGGCGGAUCUCUGGGCCAUAACUGACGCUGAGGAGCGAAAGCAUGGGGAGCGAACAGGAUUAGAUACCCUGGUAGUCC
This 292-nucleotide ribosomal RNA is filed under the name uncultured bacterium. RNAcentral's name for it is "partial 16S ribosomal RNA". It matches the Rfam family "Bacterial small subunit ribosomal RNA", at positions 505 to 796 of the family's 1533-position model. The record is from RNAcentral.